Apis dorsata (giant honeybee) is the source of this 395-nucleotide long non-coding RNA. RefSeq lists it as uncharacterized. The transcript is spliced from 3 exons. Lineage: Eukaryota; Metazoa; Arthropoda; Insecta; Hymenoptera; Apidae. The record is from RefSeq and is a predicted model, not a curated record.
UCUACUACAGCCACUUAAAUAUCGAUAUGUAUGAAUAUGAUGCAUAUUUGAAAGAUAAGUAUGUAAAGUCCAAAAACAAGUGAAACGAGAAAAUAAUUAAUUUUUAUUAAAGAGAAGUAUGACUUAAAUUAUCAAUGAAAGCCAAUUAUCAUUAUAUAAAACUAGCAAGAGAAUUAAUGAGUGAAAAAGUGAUCAGCUUUCGUUUAAGAAAAAUAUAGACGUAACAGUGGCAAAUUACAUCGUGAAAGCGCUCGCAUAACACUCAAAAUAAAAUGCGUAUAUAUAAACGGAUGUUAAAUCAGAGCCAUGGAUCUGUCUAGUAGAGAAAGUAACUAGUUUCCUUUUCCUGAAUAUUUAUUUUAUAAGUCAAAGUAAAUACGAAAGUUGAUAUGCAA